UGGGGAAUUUUGGACAAUGGGCGAAAGCCUGAUCCAGCAAUGCCGCGUGUGUGAAGAAGGCCUUCGGGUUGUAAAGCACUUUUGUCCGGAAAGAAAUCCUUGGCUCUAAUACAGUCGGGGGAUGACGGUACCGGAAGAAUAAGCACCGGCUAACUACGUGCCAGCAGCCGCGGUAAUACGUAGGGUGCAAGCGUUAAUCGGAAUUACUGGGCGUAAAGCGUGCGCAGGCGGUUUGCUAAGACCGAUGUGAAAUCCCGGGCUCAACCUGGGAACUGCAUUGGUGACUGGCAGGCUAGAGUAUGGCAGAGGGGGGUAGAAUUCCACGCGUAGCAGUGAAAUGCGUAGAGAUGUGGAGGAAUACCGAUGGCGAAGGCAGCCCCCUGGGCCAAUACUGACGCUCAUGCACGAAAGCGUGGGGAGCAAACAGGAUUAGAUACCCUGGUAGUCCACGCCCUAAACGAUGUCAACUAGUUGUUGGGGAUUCAUUUCCUUAGUAACGUAGCUAGCGCGUGAAGUUGACCGCCUGGGGAGUACGGUCGCAAGAUUAAAACUCAAAUGAAUUGACGGGGUCAUAGCUGUUUCCU
This 584-nucleotide ribosomal RNA is filed under the name uncultured bacterium. Its description in RNAcentral is "partial 16S ribosomal RNA". It matches the Rfam family "Bacterial small subunit ribosomal RNA", at positions 355 to 1375 of the family's 1533-position model. The record is from RNAcentral.